RNAcentral lists this long non-coding RNA (473 nucleotides) under Trifolium pratense (red clover). RNAcentral's name for it is "long non-coding RNA (TPRA_LNC006530)". Lineage: Eukaryota; Viridiplantae; Streptophyta; Magnoliopsida; Fabales; Fabaceae. The record is from RNAcentral.
GAAAAGUAGACACGGUGGCAAUGUUGUAAUUACGUUGAAAUUUGUUUUAAUUGGAUUUCACUACUGAUUUGGUCUUCAACCGUAGUGGAAUCCCUAUUAGUGUUCAUCAUAUUGUUCAUUCAUUCAUUCCCAAUCCCUAACAUAUAUGUUACGCGAAGCCGAACGAAAUUCCCAAAUCGCCAAAUCCCUAAAAAUCAAAACACUCACUCCUGCGCCAUCUUCAUUAUCGUUCUCCAAGUUCUUCAAUCAUUCUCCAAUCUCUUCACCUUAAAUUACUCGAUCCAAUCCCGUAAUCGUCCCAUCGAGAGAAGCGAUCGAACCCUAGACGGCCGACCUUGCAGAUUUCUUCGUUUUCAUUCGGUAAAGGAGCGAGAGAAGUCCUUGUCGAUUUUUGGAGUUUUGAUUUUGCCAAAGCUUGAGGCGAAACCCUAGACGGCCACCGCUGUCAUUCGAGAAAGGUGGAUAACAAAACU